RNAcentral lists this transfer RNA (84 nucleotides) under Caudoviricetes sp. Its description in RNAcentral is "tRNA-Leu". It matches the Rfam family "tRNA". Rfam says of the family: Transfer RNA (tRNA) molecules are approximately 80 nucleotides in length. Their secondary structure includes four short double-helical elements and three loops (D, anti-codon, and T loops). Lineage: Duplodnaviria; Heunggongvirae; Uroviricota; Caudoviricetes. The record is from RNAcentral.
GUGGGAUUGGCGGAAUUGGUAGACGCGCAAGAUUUAGGUUCUUGUGGAUAAUCCGUGAGAGUUCAAGUCUCUCAUCCCGCACCA